CUUGAUAACAUCCCGACGUCCCCGAAAUGGCAAGAAAGUUAGCAGUUCUUUACCAGAGAAAAAGCUUGAAAACUCUACUGAUGAAACAAAUGUUUCGAGCGAACAAACUUCAACAAGCCUUAACCAAACUCCUUCAUCUAUUAUCCCCAAGCAUUCUGAUGUUUGUGAUAAGUCUCAUCCGCAUUCAAGCUCUUCAUU
Neltuma alba is the source of this 198-nucleotide long non-coding RNA. RefSeq lists it as uncharacterized. The transcript is spliced from 3 exons. NCBI's taxonomy places the organism in Eukaryota, Viridiplantae, Streptophyta, Magnoliopsida, Fabales, Fabaceae. The record is from RefSeq and is a predicted model, not a curated record.